CAACCCUCAAGCCCCCGGGCUUGGCGUUGGGGAUCGGCACAAGGCUUAGGGGCUCCCCCAGGGGAGCCUCGACGGCCCGCCGUCCCCCAAAUUCAGUGGCGGUCACGUCGCGGCCUCCUAUGCGUAGUAGCAACACCUCGCACUGGAAGCCCCUCGCGUCCACGCCGUAAAACCCCCGACUUUUUAUCA
RNAcentral lists this unclassified non-coding RNA (189 nucleotides) under uncultured Ascomycota. RNAcentral describes it as "sequence contains ITS2". Lineage: Eukaryota; Fungi; Ascomycota. The record is from RNAcentral.